Molecule: transfer RNA, 121 nt
Filed under: Candidatus Bathyarchaeota archaeon
Lineage: Archaea; Thermoproteati; Candidatus Bathyarchaeota
Description: tRNA-OTHER
Rfam family: tRNA
About the family: Transfer RNA (tRNA) molecules are approximately 80 nucleotides in length.
Source: RNAcentral
GGGCCCGUGGCCUAGUCUGGAUAGGGCGCAGUAAAAGUUUGUCGCGUAAGCCUUCGGAGGUAGUGACUUAAAUAUUGGAGAAAGCCUGAAGUCGGGGGUUCAAAUCCCCCCGGGCCCGCCA